UACGGAGGGGGCGAGCGUUAUUCGGAAUUAUUGGGCGUAAAGGGCGCGUAGGCGGCUUGAUGUGUCAAAGGUGAAAUCCCUCGGCUCAACUGAGGAACUGCCUUUGAAACUGUCUGGCUUGAGGCCGGGAGAGGGUAGCGGAAUUCCCAGUGUAGCGGUGAAAUGCGUAGAUAUUGGGAGGAACACCAGUGGCGAAGGCGGCUACCUGGACCGGUUCUGACGCUGAGGCGCGAAAGCGUGGGUAGCAAACAGGAUUAGAUACCCCCGUAGUCC
RNAcentral lists this ribosomal RNA (273 nucleotides) under uncultured bacterium. RNAcentral's name for it is "partial 16S ribosomal RNA". It matches the Rfam family "Bacterial small subunit ribosomal RNA", at positions 524 to 796 of the family's 1533-position model. The record is from RNAcentral.